GCCAGCAGCCAUAUCACUCUGCAAUUCACAACUGGUAGCCCACUGAAGCUCAGCAGGUGUGAGCCUGGUCAGUACCUGGAUGGGAGACCUCCUAGGAAAAAUUAAGGUUGCUGCUGGAA
RNAcentral lists this ribosomal RNA (119 nucleotides) under Lepisosteus oculatus (spotted gar). The record is from RNAcentral. Lineage: Eukaryota; Metazoa; Chordata; Actinopteri; Semionotiformes; Lepisosteidae.